GAUGAACGCUGGCGGCGUGCCUAAUACAUGCAAGUCGAGCGAACAGAUGAUGAGCUUGCUCCUCUUACGUUAGCGGCGGACGGGUGAGUAACACGUGGAUAACCUACCUAUAAUACUGGGAUAACUUCGGGAAACCGGAUCUAAUACCGGAUAAUAUAUUGAACCGCAUGGUUCAAUAGUGAAAGACGGUUUUGCUGUCACUUAUAGAUGGUUCCUGGCCGCAUUAGCUAGUUGGUAAGGUAACGGCUUACCAAGGCAACGAUGCGUAGCCGACGUGAGAGGGUGAACGGCAACACGGGAAGGGAGACACGGACAAGAGUACUACGGGAGGCAGCAGUAGGGAAUGUUACGCAAUGGGCGAAAGCAUGACGGAGCAAGGCCGAGUGAGUGAUGAAGGUCUUAGGAUCGUAAAACUCUGUUAUUAGGGAAGAAAAAAUGUGUAAGUAAAUAUGCACGUAUUGACGGUAACAAAACAGAAAGCAACGGCUAACUACGUG
This 497-nucleotide ribosomal RNA is filed under the name uncultured bacterium. Its description in RNAcentral is "partial 16S ribosomal RNA". It matches the Rfam family "Bacterial small subunit ribosomal RNA", at positions 28 to 507 of the family's 1533-position model. The record is from RNAcentral.